This is a long non-coding RNA of Lathyrus oleraceus (garden pea), 2597 nucleotides long. RefSeq lists it as uncharacterized. Lineage: Eukaryota; Viridiplantae; Streptophyta; Magnoliopsida; Fabales; Fabaceae. The transcript has 3 exons. The record is from RefSeq and is a predicted model, not a curated record.
AACUAAGUCCAUUUAGCAAAAAAUUAAAUCAAACUGAUCAGAAUGGGCCUGAAGUUCAAUGUUAAGCCCGGACAGGGGGGUGCUAGACUGGAAACAGUGUGCAAAUGUCAAUUAUAUGGGCCUAAGCCCAAACUGGUCCAACACAAGAGAUUCGGAACCUCCCUCACGUGCCAAACCAUACACCGCUCCUUCAAAUGUUCCCUCCAUAAUCAUGGCCGGCGAGCAAAGCUUCCGCCGCGCCGGAGUUCAUCGCUGGCAGCGGCGGAGCUCCAAACGUGAAAAUUAACCAACAAAACGGUUGUCUCUACCUCACGGUAUCGAAUGUCUAAACCAAACUUCUUAAUUCUAAACUCGCUGGCAGAAUCGCGAGCAAGCACGCACGAACCCUAAGCAACCUCAUCAACAAUUAAAUUCGGUACAAUCACAAUCAAACAUUAACAGGUUAGGGCUUCGGUCUCCCUAACCUGAUACAAUGCCGUGAUAGGCGGAUCAAAGCCAGAGCAUAAGGAUUAGGUGUGUUACCUUCCGGAUACGACGAUAGAGACGGCGACAGCGACGACACCGAGCACAGGACACAUGCUGAUGCCAUAGAUGGCUCAUCUUGGACCAACUCCAUGACCAUUAGUUCAGCUUGUAGGACACUCAUCUUAGGUUUGCUUUCUUUUUGAAUGGUUCAAUUAGCUAGUUGUUGCAUUCAAUCUGAUUUGUGUCCAAUUUUGUGUGCCACUGAAUGAAUUAACAUGCAUGGUCCUUUGUGGUUUAUUGAACAUUUCCUGCAAAUGGCUUACUGACUUGCAUUAGGCCUUUUGAGACUUGCUUGAUAUUCAAUGGCUGCUGUAUCGAAGGGGCUCAUGAUGAUGGUUAUGCGGUCAGGUGCAGGGUGAUUUUCGGUUAUCCAGAAGAUAUUGCUGCAGACCUGACGAAUGCAGUUUCGGUUUCGGUGCCGUUGCAUUCAUUUGUGUGGGGUUUAGCUCCAUGACCGCCAUGUGUUCUAUGCAUUCAUUUGGCAGUCGUAAUAUGAUUCUGACUCGUCCAUCUCGUAUUUCUUGCAGAAAAUAGUUCGUAAUUCUGUCCUCCGGCUCGAUGCAUAUAGCGCUGCACCCUUUACUCCACUUCUUUGUUGCCUACCUUGCUUACGGUCUUGGCUAUUAGGUUGUUUGAAUGCAGUAGAACCAAAUACCAACUUGGAAGGAAUGGUUGAUGAGUCAAUGUCUCCGUCCUAUAAGUCGUCCAACAAUGCUGUUGCGGGUAUGCUAUGACCUUGAAUUUUGCAGUUGUUUAAAGGUUGAUGCAUAAGGGUCACAGUGAGUAGAAACUCUUGAUGCUCCAAAACCGGAAGAGAAAUUGAAUAGUUGCAAUCUGGAAUAUCUGGUGUAUAUCUGGAUGCAGCGAUAGUUCCUCCCGUUGGCACAGGUUUAUGGCAAGGCCAUCUUGCAACUCGGUUAUGCGUUUGCAUUCUGCAGGUUGGAAUGUUAGCUGCUGCGUGUGUGUUUCUGUGGGUUUGUAGCAGGUGGUUUUGCAGCUGUUACGAGUUGAAAAAUUUGAGAAAGGGAAGUGUCUGAUCCAACAUGUGUAGCUUUAACCAACAAGCAUCCAUUCUCAUUGAUUGUUCCACUGAUAACCUUGUCUCCUGGACUUUUGGCAAUGGGUCUAGCCUCCCCUGUGAUCAUACUUUCAUUUGCAUAGCUUUUGCAUUGUGCGCUGUUCCGUAGCUUAUGGUUUGUGAGUUGUUGGAAGUGGCUCUUAUUUGGAAGCGUUAGCUUGUGCGUGAGCUGCAGUUUGGAUUGGAUAUUGACUUCGUUGUCGUUUUCAGUGUGGCUUGCAUCGGCUGUGCGUGCUAGCUUGUAGCUUUGGUCUUACUGUGCGUUGUUGCAGCUGCUUAGGCUUAGGUUGUAUUGUAGCUUAUGCUACUUCUGUUUUUCUUUUUCCGUCGUUUUGUACUAGUUGUGGCUUCCCAUUUCUGUUUGGAUUUUACGUUGCAGCUUAUGGCUCGUUUGGCACUUUGUUUGCAGUUUUUUUUCAAUCUACGUUCCUGCGUUUUGCCUUGAGCUGCUAUACAACGCUCGUCCUGGCUCAUCAUUUCAAGCGCUUGCGUUUGUGCUGCGUAGCUUCAUUCUGCCGUUCUGCUGUUGGUUUGUCUCUGUGUUACUUGUUACAGUUUGGCUUGGCUUGCAACUUCAACUGGCGUUUCGGAUGCCGUCGCUUACCGUUUUUGAGUUGAGUUUCUGCAGCUUUCACUUUUGGCCUGCUGUGUUUCAAGUUGUUUUUGCUGCGUUUGGCUUGCAGCUUUUUGCAUUUAGCCUGCGUCUUUUGUUUGGCUUGUGCGUCGUUCACUGCUGCGCGUUUCGUAUGCUAUGUUGUUUAAGUUGCAGCAGGCUUUGGGCUUCACUUUGGUAGCUUGUACUACAACUUUUGUUUGAGCUGUAGAUUGGCUAUUUCGGAAGCUCUUCUCCAUAUCUUGUUGGGAGCAGUAUUAUGCAUUUCCCUUCCUGGACUUUAUUUUUUAUUUUUUUGUUUGUAAUAUUGGGCUUGGGUUAUAAAUGGAUGUGCUGGAUAAAUGGAUUAUGGUUAAAAAAUGGAAUUUGGUUUAAAAUGAA